This 76-nucleotide small RNA is filed under the name Xanthomonas axonopodis pv. begoniae. RNAcentral describes it as "sX9 sRNA". It matches the Rfam family "Xanthomonas sRNA sX9". The record is from RNAcentral. Lineage: Bacteria; Pseudomonadati; Pseudomonadota; Gammaproteobacteria; Lysobacterales; Lysobacteraceae.
AUGUAGCACUCGUCCACUGCGGCCCCUGCGCGCCGUCCGCACCCACCUGACGACUGCUAGCCACGUGGUGUAAGCC